GACGAACGCUGGCGGCGUGCCUAAUACAUGCAAGUCGAGCGCAGGAAAUCGACGGAACCCUUCGGGGGGAAGUCGACGGAAUGAGCGGCGGACGGGUGAGUAACACGUAAAGAACCUGCCCUCAGGUCUGGGAUAACCACGAGAAAUCGGGGCUAAUACCGGAUGGGUCAUCGGACCGCAUGGUCCGAGGAUGAAAGGCGCUUCGGCGUCGCCUGGGGAUGGCUUUGCGGUGCAUUAGCUAGUCGGUGGGGUAAGGGCCCACCAAGGCGACGAUGCAUAGCCGACCUGAGAGGGUUAUCGGCCACACUGGGACUGAGACACGACCCAGACUCCUACGGGAGGCAGCAGUAGGGAAUCUUCCACAAUGGACGAAAGUCUGAUGGAGCAACGCCGCGUGAACGAUGAAGGCAUUCGGGUCGUAAAGUUCUGUUGUAAGGGAAGAACAAGUGCCGCAGGCAAUGGCGGCACCUUGACGGUACCUUGCGAGAAAGCCACGGCUAACUACGUGCCAGCCGCCGCAGUAA
This 524-nucleotide ribosomal RNA is filed under the name uncultured bacterium. Its description in RNAcentral is "partial 16S ribosomal RNA". It matches the Rfam family "Bacterial small subunit ribosomal RNA", at positions 28 to 523 of the family's 1533-position model. The record is from RNAcentral.